RNAcentral lists this ribosomal RNA (281 nucleotides) under Blautia luti. RNAcentral describes it as "partial 16S ribosomal RNA". It matches the Rfam family "Bacterial small subunit ribosomal RNA", at positions 496 to 776 of the family's 1533-position model. The record is from RNAcentral. Lineage: Bacteria; Bacillati; Bacillota; Clostridia; Lachnospirales; Lachnospiraceae.
UAUGGUUGUGUGCCAGCCGCCGCGGUAAUACGUAGGGGGCAAGCGUUAUCCGGAUUUACUGGGUGUAAAGGGAGCGUAGACGGAUGGACAAGUCUGAUGUGAAAGGCUGGGGCUCAACCCCGGGACUGCAUUGGAAACUGCCCGUCUUGAGUGCCGGAGAGGUAAGCGGAAUUCCUAGUGUAGCGGUGAAAUGCGUAGAUAUUAGGAGGAACACCAGUGGCGAAGGCGGCUUACUGGACGGUAACUGACGUUGAGGCUCGAAAGCGUGGGGAGCAAACAGG